Molecule: transfer RNA, 72 nt
Filed under: Rhipicephalus microplus (southern cattle tick)
Lineage: Eukaryota; Metazoa; Arthropoda; Arachnida; Ixodida; Ixodidae
Description: tRNA-Gln
Rfam family: tRNA
About the family: Transfer RNA (tRNA) molecules are approximately 80 nucleotides in length. Their secondary structure includes four short double-helical elements and three loops (D, anti-codon, and T loops).
Source: Rfam by way of RNAcentral
AGUCUCAUGGUGUAAUGGUUAGCACUCUGGACUUUGAAUCCAGCGAUCUGAGUUCAAAUCUCGGUGAGACCU